CCUACGGGUGGCAGCAGUGGGGGAUAUUGCACAAUGGGGGAAACCCUGAUGCAGCGACGCCGCGUGGGUGAAGAAGUAUUUCGGUAUGUAAAGCCCUAUCAGCAGGGAAGAAAGAAGACGGUACCUGACUAGGAAGCCCCGGCUAACUACGUGCCAGCAGCCGCGGUAAUACGUAGGGGGCGAGCGUUAUCCGGAUUCACUGGGGGUAAAGGGAGCGUAGACGGCCGUGCAAGCCAGGAGUGAAAGCCCGGGGCCCAACCCCGGGACUGCUCUUGGAACUGUGCGGCUGGAGUGCGGGAGGGGCAGGCGGAAUUCCUGGUGUAGCGGUGAAAUGCGUAGAUAUCAGGAGGAACACCGGCGGCGAAGGCGGCCUGCUGGACCGCGACUGACGUUGAGGCUCGAAAGCGUGGGGAGCGAACAGGAUUAGAUACCCGGGUAGUC
This 441-nucleotide ribosomal RNA is filed under the name uncultured bacterium. RNAcentral describes it as "partial 16S ribosomal RNA". It matches the Rfam family "Bacterial small subunit ribosomal RNA", at positions 338 to 795 of the family's 1533-position model. The record is from RNAcentral.